GUUCCACACUCAGCACAAAGCCCGAUGCUGGGCUUGAUCCCCCCACCCUGCGAUCAUGACCAGAGCCAAAAAUUGAGGGUUGCCAUUCAACCCAGACACCGUCUUUGCUUCUCUUAUUAUAUCAGGUUAGUUGGUAUGGCUGGCCUUAAUCGUUCCUCCCCACCUACUGUUUGCUAUUUCUCAUCAUUUGUUAGCUGAAGAAUCAGUUGUUAACAUAAUGUGUAAAGUAAAUGUAUACUGGCUCCUAAUUAAAAAAAAAAAAUGGGCAAAGAAUCAGGAUCCAUAUUUCUCUGAAGCAGAUAUACAAAUGGCCCAUAAGCACAUGAAAACAAUGCUUGAUGGCAUUAGUUAUCAGGGAAAUGUAAGGAAAACCAUAAUGAGAUACCGCUUUGUGCUCAUCAGAGUGGCUAUGGUCAAAAAGUCCAAUAAGACUCAUGUUGAUGAAGAUGAGGAGUAACUGGAACCCUCACACACUUGGGAGGAAUGCGAAGUGGUGUCGUUGCUUUGGAAAACACAUCAAGUGAUUAAACACAGACCCGCAGACUUAUACAUAUGACUGGGUAAUUCUACUCGGAUUAGAUUUCAGGAAGAAAAGCAAACAAGGAAAAGUACUUCUGAAGUUCCCCAGCACAUCAGUUGCCUCAACAUAGUAAAUCCAGGCGAAGAAAUGCCAAGACCCCAAUAGCUCAGCCCCAACCCUCUGAAAAGAUGACAAUGGCAACUAAUAAGUAAGAAGACAGACUGGAUCUCAUGAGGCGGAACUGAGACCAGCUCAUAACAUCUCAUAUCAGAAGAAAAUUCAAUUUAUGAUGCCAUUUACAGACAUUUCUAGUCUACCUACAAGCUGCAAAAAUAUUAAUAUAGGUUUUUACUUUUAUGGAAAACAUAUAUACCCCCUAUGUUCAUCUUUACUUCAUUCCAAUUAUGAAUAAUUGAUAACUUAAAAGACCUUCCUUAGGAGAUUGUACCUGUCUUUCCCCAUUGCUUGUAACGAGGUUCCUGGUGUUAUCAGAUAUUUCUUUCUAUUUUUACCAUCUUCUUUUGGAAACAAGGUGAUUUUAACUGAAUGCAGAAUAAGCGUGUACCACUGAUUUCUGUAAUGACAUUGGAAUAUAUUCCCUUUCAUUUUUACUGCAAUUAAAUAGUGUAUUUUCUUUCUUUUUCUUUCGUUUUCUUUCUUUCUUUCUUUCUUUCUUUCUUUCUUUCUCUUCUUUCUUUCUUUCUUUCUUUCUUUCUUUCUUUCUUUCUUUUUCGUUCUUUCUUUUGGUUUUUAAACACUACUGAGCAUCACACAUACGUCUUCAUUAAGAUGUCUGCCAUGAGCCUAAAUCUUUUCCCUGUAAGUAGAACUAAUUCAGAACUCACCCGAGUGGAUGACUAAUUUAAAUUGCUACUUCCAACAUGCAAUACUCUGCACUUGUCUGCUCUGAGUUUCAUCUGCCACUGUUUCACCCAAUUACUGAGUUUAGAGUCUAUGUUUCUCACUUCCAUCUGUAUAGAUUUAAGGAGCCAAAAUAGUUUUGUUUAGUCAGCAAAUUUCAGCACCUCAUUAUUUGGUUCAUUUUCAAGGAUGUUAAUAAAUAUCCUAGAGAAGACUAUUCUUACACCGAUUGCUGAUACCCCACUAUUAACUCUUUUCCAUGCUGAGAGCUGGUCAUUUAUUCUUUCAUUCCCCCUCUAUCUCUUAACUCACUUUUAACUCAUGCUUGACAGCUUUUUACCUCUUGCCCAGUGGUUGGCAAGUUCCCUUAACAGUCUCUUGUGUAGGACUUCAUCAAAAGCCCUUUGAGAGCCUAAAUAAAUUACAUCUACUAGUUUUCCUUUA
Long non-coding RNA from Herpailurus yagouaroundi (jaguarundi), 1825 nucleotides. RefSeq lists it as uncharacterized. The transcript is spliced from 3 exons. The record is from RefSeq and is a predicted model, not a curated record. NCBI's taxonomy places the organism in Eukaryota, Metazoa, Chordata, Mammalia, Carnivora, Felidae.